Pogona vitticeps (central bearded dragon) is the source of this 388-nucleotide non-coding RNA. The record is from RefSeq and is a predicted model, not a curated record. Lineage: Eukaryota; Metazoa; Chordata; Lepidosauria; Squamata; Agamidae.
ACCAUCCCAUACAGUGAGGCAGCAGAUCUAGAACACCAUGAAAAAAUGGCAAAUCGUUAGCUACUUAUUUUGAAAAUAAAAGAAUCAGCUGAAAUCUAAGGGGAUAUGAUGCGACAACAAAAUGUCAUAAUAAAGCCAUGUGUUUCACAUCAGACAUUUAAAUGUCUGAAUGCAAAAAAAAUUAAAAGAGCAUGAUCCACAUUGAAUUUGUUGAGAUGAAGCACAUGCAAGCUUCCAAAAGCACUAGAAAGGUGAGAACCUUCCUCAUCAGAUGCAUGGGCUGCCCCAGAUUGGAAGAUAUACACAUAAUGGUGUAGGAGAGUAAGUUAUCUGUCUUACUCUGAAUAGAAAGGAACACUUCUGGAACAUGAUAGCAUGCACUCCCUCG